GAGCUCCUACGGGAGGCAGCAGUGGGGAAUAUUGGGCAAUGGACGCAAGUCUGACCCAGCAACGCCGCGUGAAGGAAGAAGGCUUUCGGGUUGUAAACUUCUUUUAAGGGGGAAGAGUAGAAGACGGUACCCCUUGAAUAAGCCACGGCUAACUACGUGCCAGCAGCCGCGGUAAUACGUAGGUGGCAAGCGUUGUCCGGAUUUACUGGGUGUAAAGGGCGUGCAGCCAGAGAGACAAGUCAGAUGUGAAAUCCGCGGGCUCAACCCGCGAACUGCAUUUGAAACUGUUUCCCUUGAGUAUCGGG
This 305-nucleotide ribosomal RNA is filed under the name uncultured bacterium. RNAcentral describes it as "bacterial SSU rRNA". It matches the Rfam family "Bacterial small subunit ribosomal RNA", at positions 333 to 653 of the family's 1533-position model. The record is from RNAcentral.